This 586-nucleotide ribosomal RNA is filed under the name Umimayanthus sp. 47J. RNAcentral's name for it is "partial 16S ribosomal RNA". It matches the Rfam family "Bacterial large subunit ribosomal RNA", at positions 1858 to 2423 of the family's 2925-position model. Lineage: Eukaryota; Metazoa; Cnidaria; Anthozoa; Zoantharia; Parazoanthidae. The record is from RNAcentral.
CCUGCCCAAUGGUUGUAUCUAAAAGCGGUUGAUAAAAGUCGACCGUGUAAGGACAAUUGAAUGGCCGCGGUAACACUGACCGUGAUAAUGUAGCGUAAUCAAUAGCCAAUUAAUUGUUGGCCAGUAUGAAUGGCGCCACGAAGGCCCCACUGUCUUAAGGAAAUUCCCAGUGAAAUUGAAUUCGUAGUGAAGAUGCUACGUCCAAUUUGUUAGACGAAAAGACCCCGUUGAGCUUUACUGGGGCACUUACACGGCCCCGGCCUUCAAGACUGGGUUGAUAAGCCAAGGCUUACCAUACCUAGGGACCGGCCGAAUUUAAAUGGGCGGCUUAGACUAUGUGGCAGCCCCCCCCGUCGGGGCAGAUGAAACCCCACUCCCCCAUGUCAAAGGGGCUAACCCCCCCCCCCUUGGGGGGGGACAAUGUAAGUAGGACAGUUUGGUUGGGGCGACCGCCUUUUAGAGAGUAACGAAGGUGCGCUUAAGGUGCGUAAUUAAUGACUGAAGCCUGACUGCGAGGGGGAUACCCCGAGCAGACACCCCCAAGCCCGCCCGAGAAGGCUUUGCCUUCUGGGCGGCGGUGGGGUGG